GCCACCAUGUGGAAAUGGAGUGAGCAGCUGGAAUAUAAACUUGCAUGAGAAAAAGAUUCUUCCUUCACAUGAGAACGAUUACAAACCCUCAGCACCCACCGACAGGGUGAAGGAAACUCAAGAGGACUCACCUUAAGUGGAGACAGCAAAUUAAUUUAUUUAGAAUAUGCCAGCUCUUUAUCAUUUGGCUAAACUAUAGCCUCUCAAGGUUUGUUUCCCUGGGACUGAAGGACUCUCUAAAGAAAAAUGACAUCAAGAAAACUAUCUCAAGAGGCAGAACUUUCAAACAGCAAUGGGAGGCUUUCCAAGUGAUGUUUUGGACUUUGAUCUGCAGCAGAACUACCAAGCAGCAUCACUCCCUCCUAACCAAGAAAGCCACCAAUUCCUAACCAAUGAAUUCCAUCUGCUGAAAUGCUUGCAAAUGCUUCUGCCUCCUGAGAAGGAAGAGAUGGAGGAGGCCCCACUACAUGAUGGAAAUUAGAGAGUCUUAGUACACAGUGGGCGGGGGGUCAAGACUGAGCUGAACAGAGGCAGCAGAGUGACCAAAUAGAGCACACAGCCUGGACGGCAAGGCCUGAAUUCUCAUCUCCAUCAAGCUGGGGCUCUCUGACUUACAGGGCCCCAUCUGUAAAACAAGACUGUGUGAAAUGAUGCUGAAGUCUCUUCCUUCUCUAAAACUGUGCAUCUUGAAUUGCUCUAGAUUCUGAUCUUGGUAUGUCCUUUAAUGGACAUGAAAAAAUGCCUGUAUCUGAUGCAAUGUUGUCUAAAUCAACGAUUACAAAAAUGUUAGAAUUUUAUGAGCGACCUGGGAAAAUCCUAACACAGAGUA
Molecule: long non-coding RNA, 829 nt
Filed under: Pan troglodytes (chimpanzee)
Lineage: Eukaryota; Metazoa; Chordata; Mammalia; Primates; Hominidae
Description: long non-coding RNA NONPTRT007658
Source: RNAcentral